RNAcentral lists this transfer RNA (86 nucleotides) under Biscogniauxia mediterranea. Its description in RNAcentral is "tRNA-Cys". It matches the Rfam family "tRNA". From Rfam's summary of the family: Transfer RNA (tRNA) molecules are approximately 80 nucleotides in length. Their secondary structure includes four short double-helical elements and three loops (D, anti-codon, and T loops). The record is from RNAcentral. Lineage: Eukaryota; Fungi; Ascomycota; Sordariomycetes; Xylariales; Xylariaceae.
GGAUCGGUAGCUCAGCGGUAGAGCGUGGGAUUGCAGUGAUUUAAACAACUAUCCUAAGGUCACGCGUUCGACCCGCGUUCGAUCCU